This 253-nucleotide ribosomal RNA is filed under the name uncultured bacterium. RNAcentral describes it as "partial 16S ribosomal RNA". It matches the Rfam family "Bacterial small subunit ribosomal RNA", at positions 524 to 776 of the family's 1533-position model. The record is from RNAcentral.
UACGAAGGGGACUAGCGUUGUUCGGAAUCACUGGGCGUAAAGCGCACGUAGGCGGAUUUGUAAGUCAGGGGUGAAAUCCCGGGGCUCAACCUCGGAACUGCCUUUGAUACAGCACAUCUGGAGUCCGGAAGAGGUGGGUGGAAUUCCUAGUGUAGAGGUGAAAUUCGUAGAUAUUAGGAAGAACACCGGUGGCGAAGGCGGCCCACUGGUCCGGUACUGACGCUGAGGUGCGAAAGCGUGGGGAGCAAACAGG